UUUCUUGAUCCAGAUCAGUCGCCCGAACAGCUUUCCGUCGUGCUCCCGCUGCUAUUGACCCGGGUCAAUUUUGCUGGGGUGGGGCGGGUUUAACGUUCACCCAUCGGACAUCGCAACGGAUUCGGAGGACGGUCUCAUGUUCGUCGAUAGCGUAGUACUCGCAGGGGUGGUCACGGUCGGCCUGAUGGUCGUUUUCCUGGGCGGUGUUGCUUAUUUCAUCUGGCGGGACUCGAAGAAGAAGCGCAGCUGACCCGCUGAUACAGAGCACGCAAGGCAUUUAGGCGACCUCAGGUCGCCUUUU
RNAcentral lists this unclassified non-coding RNA (301 nucleotides) under Stutzerimonas balearica DSM 6083. Its description in RNAcentral is "Pseudomonas balearica DSM 6083 Pseudomonas sRNA P20". The stretch from base 103 to 301 matches the Rfam family "PhrS". The record is from RNAcentral. Lineage: Bacteria; Pseudomonadati; Pseudomonadota; Gammaproteobacteria; Pseudomonadales; Pseudomonadaceae.